RNAcentral lists this ribosomal RNA (206 nucleotides) under uncultured bacterium. RNAcentral's name for it is "partial 16S ribosomal RNA". It matches the Rfam family "Bacterial small subunit ribosomal RNA", at positions 1287 to 1500 of the family's 1533-position model. The record is from RNAcentral.
CUCAGUUCGGAUUGGAGUCUGCAACCCGACUCCAUGAAGCUGGAUUCGCUAGUAAUCGCGCAUCAGCUACGGCGCGGUGAAUACGUUCCCGGGCCUUGUACACACCGCCCGUCAAGCCAUGGAAGCCGGGAGUGCCUGAAGUGCGUGAGCGCAAGCAGCGCCCUAAGGUAAAACCGGUGACUGGGGCUAAGUCGUAACAAGGUAAC